Molecule: ribosomal RNA, 775 nt
Filed under: uncultured Neocallimastigales
Lineage: Eukaryota; Fungi; Neocallimastigomycota; Neocallimastigomycetes; Neocallimastigales
Description: partial large subunit ribosomal RNA
Rfam family: Eukaryotic large subunit ribosomal RNA
Source: RNAcentral
UCAGACGAUGCGUCAUGUAUAUCAAUAAGCGGAGGAAAAGAAACUAACUAAGGAUUCCCUUAGUAAGGACGAGUGAAGCGGGAAGAGCUCAAAUUUGAAAUCUUCAAGGUUUUACCUUGACGAAUUGUAGUUUAAAGAAGUGUUUUCUGUUGAAGUUUUGGUAAAAGUUCUUUGGAAUAGGACAUCAUAGAGGGUGAGAAUCCCGUAUUUGACCAUUAUUUUCAGCUGUGUGAUACACUUUCAAAGAGUCGGAUUGUUUGGGAAUGCAGUCCAAAAUGGGUGGUAAAUUUCAUCUAAAGCUAAAUAUUGGCGAGAGACCGAUAGCGAACAAGUACCGUGAGGGAAAGAUGAAAAGAACUUUGAAAAGAGAGUUAAACAGUACGUGAAAUUGUCAAAAGGGAAGCGUUUGACACCAGUGUUGUUUUCUCGAAAAUCAAUUAAAAAAAGUUGGAUUUUGUGUUGUAUUGACCUUAACAGCUUGCUUCACUCUUUUCCUGCUUUUUUUAAUGCACUUUUCGUUUAACAAGUCAACAUCAGUUUCUUUUGUUGUAAAAGGGUCAUUGGAAGGUGGCUUUCUCUUCGGAGAAAGUGUAUAUAGCCUUUGAUCUCUGCAAUCGGAGAGACUGAGGUCUGCAGCGUAGAUCCUUCGGGGUUAGAUACAUUUGUGCUAAGCUACAGCUUUUCAUAGACAACUUGUUGACUAUGUUUAGUCUUGUAACUUACCCGCUUAUGCUAUUUUACCUACGCUUAGGAUGUUGAUAUGCAUGACUGAUAU